CUGCACCCUAUCCCUGCAGAACCUACUUCAUUGUUGGCACAUGAUAGGUACCCACAUGUGUUUGUUCAGAAAAAAAUAGGUUCCUUGAGAUGACAUGCUGAUCAAAGGAAGACAGUAACUGUCAAAGAUUGCUCUGAGAUGUCUGUUUCUUCAUGGCAUCUCCUCUUCCCACAGUGCCAUUAGGCACACCAGUCAUGCUUGCUUUCUUGGCCCCCAGGAUCGCCAACCUGAAGAUCCAGCUGGCCAAGCUUGACAGUGAGGCCUGGCCUGGGGUGCUGGACUCAGAGAGGGACCGUCUGAUCCUCAUCAACGAGAAGGAGGAGCUGCUGAAGGAGAUGCGCUUCAUCAGCCCCCGCAAGUGGACCCAGGGGGAGGUGGAGCAGCUGGAGAUGGCCCGGAAGCGGCUGGAAAAGGACCUGCAGGCAGCCCGGGACACCCAGAGCAAGGCGCUGACAGAGAGGUUAAAGUUAAACAGUAAGAGGAACCAGCUUGUGAGAGAACUGGAAGAAGCCACUCGGCAGGUGGCAACUCUGCACUCCCAGCUGAAAAGUCUCUCAAGCAGCAUGCAGUCCCUGUCCUCAGGCAGCAGCCCCGGAUCCCUCACGUCCAG
RNAcentral lists this small RNA (610 nucleotides) under Pongo abelii (Sumatran orangutan). RNAcentral's name for it is "retained intron". The record is from RNAcentral. Lineage: Eukaryota; Metazoa; Chordata; Mammalia; Primates; Hominidae.